This 469-nucleotide ribosomal RNA is filed under the name uncultured bacterium. Its description in RNAcentral is "partial 16S ribosomal RNA". It matches the Rfam family "Bacterial small subunit ribosomal RNA", at positions 27 to 507 of the family's 1533-position model. The record is from RNAcentral.
GGACGAACGCUGGCGGCGUGCUUAACCCAUGCAAGUCGAACGGAAAGGCCCUGCUUUUGUGGGGUGCUCGAGUGGCGAACGGGUGAGUAACACGUGAGUAACCUGCCCUUGACUUUGGGAUAACUUCAGGAAACUGGGGCUAAUACCGGAUAGGAGCUCCUGCUGCUUGGUGGGGGUUGGAAAGUUUCGGCGGUUGGGGAUGGACUCGCGGCUUAUCAGCUUGUUGGUGGGGUAGUGGCUUACCAAGGCUUUGACGGGUAGCCGGCCUGAGAGGGUGACCGGCCACAUUGGGACUGAGAUACGGCCCAGACUCCUACGGGAGGCAGCAGUGGGGAAUAUUGCACAAUGGGCGGAAGCCUGAUGCAGCAACGCCGCGUGCGGGAUGACGGCCUUCGGGUUGUAAACCGCUUUCGCCUGUGACGAAGCGUGAGUGACGGUAAUGGGUAAAGAAGCACCGGCUAACUACGUG